AUUUAUAUAGUUUAAAUAAAACCUUACAUUUUCAUUGUAAAAUUAAAAUUUUCUAUUUUUAUAAAUU
This 67-nucleotide transfer RNA is filed under the name Fannia sociella. RNAcentral describes it as "tRNA-Glu". The record is from RNAcentral. Lineage: Eukaryota; Metazoa; Arthropoda; Insecta; Diptera; Fanniidae.